GUCUAUGGCCAUGCUACCCUGAACAAGCCCAAUCCCAUCUGAUCUCAGAAGCUAAGCCGGGUCGGGCCUGGUUAGUACUUGGAUGGGAGACCGCCUAGGAAGACCAAGUGCUGUAGGCG
RNAcentral lists this ribosomal RNA (119 nucleotides) under Pteropus alecto (black flying fox). The record is from RNAcentral. Lineage: Eukaryota; Metazoa; Chordata; Mammalia; Chiroptera; Pteropodidae.